GCCGAAGUGGCGAAAUGGCAGACGCGCUACGUUCAGGGCGUAGUGGAGGUAACUCCAUGUGGGUUCAACUCCCACCUUCGGCACCA
This 86-nucleotide transfer RNA is filed under the name Chloroflexaceae bacterium. RNAcentral describes it as "tRNA-Leu". It matches the Rfam family "tRNA". From Rfam's summary of the family: Transfer RNA (tRNA) molecules are approximately 80 nucleotides in length. The record is from RNAcentral. Lineage: Bacteria; Bacillati; Chloroflexota; Chloroflexia; Chloroflexales; Chloroflexaceae.